Schizosaccharomyces pombe (fission yeast) is the source of this 911-nucleotide non-coding RNA. The record is from the annotation of a GenBank genome assembly. NCBI's taxonomy places the organism in Eukaryota, Fungi, Ascomycota, Schizosaccharomycetes, Schizosaccharomycetales, Schizosaccharomycetaceae.
UUCAACGAUAUAUCUGGUGCUCUUUUAUGGAAGGAAAAAAGACUAGUUCUUCCUAUUUAUUCACUUUGAGUUAAAGUUUAGAAAAGAAAAGAUGGGCGCAGGUAAUGAAACAAACGACUUUUAAAAGCUACGUAUAGCGGUGGAGAGACAACAGAGAGAACUGUUGACGAGAUGAAGGAUGGAGGAAAAAAUCUAAGAAAGAGAAUUAAACGCACUAAACGUCAACGAAAUCAAGUCUAACGAUUUUUGAUUUUUACCAAACGAUCAGAGCAAGGACUGAGCGACGAACCAAGGUAAAAUUUUUCAUACGAUCCAACAAAACGACGAUGAAAAUAAGAUCCAAUCUUAUACUUUACCCAACGUUUAAACAGGAAACCCAAAAGAUAAAAAGGAUUGGGAGCAAGUAAAGGGUUAAGAGGAGGAAGGGAGAGGACGAGCGAGCGAUAUGUAGAAAGAGAAGAAGAAGUAGAAAUAGGUAUAUCUUGGAGCACCAAACAAUGAUAUCACUUAAUAGUCCCCCGGGUAAGAAAGAAAAAAAAAAAAGCCAACGACAAGUAACAGAUCAAAUAGAUCAACCAGACAAAGUAACAAUUGAGUACAAGUAGGCUAUCAAAUUAACCAACCCUCGGAUCGAACAAGCAACCAAUGAAAGGGAGCGCAACGAGAUCCAGAAGGACGAAUGGAUGAAGAGAAACGAGUUUAAGCAGGAAUAACGUGUGCGCUAAAAAAGCUUAGGCGCAAUGGCGUUAAAGAGGAAAAACACAGGAACAAUGGGGAUAAAAGCUUAAGUGAGUUAACACAAAAAUGCGACGCUGUGGCUAUAACGCAGUGGAGUGAAGAGGAGCGCAGAGGAAGGGUGUGUGAGUACGUAAGUAAAGGGGUAGAGAAAGCGAGCCUUAUAUAUAUAUAUA